AGGUCCUAAGGCAGCGUUUCUUAAUCUUUUCAUCCCUUAGUCUUCUCCGCCGUAGGCAAUGCUAGGGUUUCAGUCUAAUACGGCGCCGAUUGAUUGCUUUUACAGUUUCGAACGAUUCAUACUUCUUCUUCCUCCUGGUCCAGAAAUCAUUCAGUUACGGAUUCAUUGCUAUUAAAUUAUUUCUUAACUCCAUCGUCACGAUCUAUCUUCAAUGCCACAUAAACUCUUCGAAGGCGGUGGAGGUUCGACUAUAAAAAGUCUGGUAGAUGUUCUUCCACGGUUGAGGUUAGGUUAUUGUGUUUCUGGGAGGCGAGGAAUAUCAGGCGCGGUGAUGAACUGAUGUCUGCUCCUGCUUGAUUCAAAUGCGGCUCUUAUGCCAGCCACCGUUGCAGCUAGCUGGGUUCCAACCUUUGGUUCCCAUCUCAUGGUGGGGUCGAUGUAUUCUUAAUCGGUUUUGAAGUGGCUCGGUGUAAUCCAAACUUCAGGCUAACGGACUCUUCUUUGUUGAUCCGGUUCAGUGAUGCAACCUCCUUGAAGGUGUUGACUGAACCGAGUUCUCCGCUGCCUGAAGAAUGUUUCCGUUUUCGUAGUCGGAGUGCUUGCUCUAGCAAACACCAGCUCUCAACUCUCGGACAUCAUUGGGGAGAUCACGACGGUUAAGAUUUCCGUCAGUGACCCUCCGGGAGACAAAAAUCACUCGACGGCGACGCACAGACUCAGCCUUCACAUGUGUGCACUGCGACAAUACAUAUGUGGUUGGUGCUCUCCGGUAUGUAACACACUGUAUUAUGAAUGAUCAAGAGUGGAGAAAUGGAAGAAGAAUUAGAAGAGACGCUUGCGACAAAUGAAAAAUUGUGAGCAACAGGUGAUACAGUGAGUUUUGAUGAGAGAGGACAGAUGUCGAUCUCACAGAGCUAGACUUUCUGACUUGGCAUCCUAGGUGGCAUGCUUCAGGAGAGAGCAAACCAUACUUUAUAUAAUUAGAUUAGAUGUUUCACCAUCACACGGAUACUUAACGGACUUUAUCAACUUCCCUGCAUCCGUUGAUAAUGUGAGUGUUACUAUUGUUUUGCCAUGGCGCUUUCAUGUACUAUAAAUUAAUAAAGAUUAUUGGACAUGAUCAGGGAGACAACGUGAAAAAGGGGGACGACAUACCAGUUGACAACACGGUUCCUGCUGAGGUUGAAACCGGGGGUAGCAGUCCGCAGGCAGCACCGGAUGCAACAGCAGUCCCAAAUGGUAAAGAACCACAGGAGCCUUCAGCCAAAGCAGCUCGCUUAAUGAUUUGGCAAUAGAGUUACUUUAUCUCAAAAAAAUGUUUUUGCAUCAAUGUUGGUUUUUUUUUAAAUUAAGGAUGUUGUGUCUGCUUCUGGUUUUUAACUUCCUGAACAAUCUUUAUUUUCUGAAAUUCCUAUAAAAUUUCUGUUUGGUUCAAAGGUUUGUACGAUUAGUUUGAGUUUAUGCAAACCAUUAAUGUUUUCCUCAAA
Molecule: long non-coding RNA, 1487 nt
Organism: Brassica napus (rape)
Lineage: Eukaryota; Viridiplantae; Streptophyta; Magnoliopsida; Brassicales; Brassicaceae
Exons: 4
Source: RefSeq, a predicted model, not a curated record